AUGAAAUUUUCAUAUACGGCUCUUAGAGGGGGACUCGGGUUAGUUACCUAUCUCAAUAAAGUAUAUGAUUGGUUUGAGGAACGUCUUGAGAUUCAGGGGGAAUAUGUUCCUCCCCAUGUCAACAUAUUUUAUUGUUUAGGGGGAAUUACACUUACUUGUUUUCUAGUACAAGUCGCUACCGGUUUUGCUAUGACUUUUUACUACCGACCAACCGUUACAGAGGCUUUUUCCUCGGUUCAAUACAUAAUGACCGAGGCCACCUUUGGUUGGUUAAUGAAUUAG
Molecule: ribosomal RNA, 282 nt
Filed under: Triticum aestivum (bread wheat)
Lineage: Eukaryota; Viridiplantae; Streptophyta; Magnoliopsida; Poales; Poaceae
Description: partial small subunit ribosomal RNA
Source: RNAcentral